This 253-nucleotide ribosomal RNA is filed under the name uncultured bacterium. Its description in RNAcentral is "partial 16S ribosomal RNA". It matches the Rfam family "Bacterial small subunit ribosomal RNA", at positions 524 to 776 of the family's 1533-position model. The record is from RNAcentral.
UACGAAGGGGGCGAGCGUUGUUCGGAAUUACUGGGCGUAAAGGGCGCGUAGGCGGCCAUCUAAGUCAGACGUGAAAUCCCCCGGCUUAACCUGGGAACUGCGUCUGAUACUGGAAGGCUUGAGUAUGGGAGAGGGAUGUAGAAUUCCAGGUGUAGCGGUGAAAUGCGUAGAUAUCUGGAGGAAUACCGGUGGCGAAGGCGGCAUCCUGGACCGACAUUGACGCUGAGGAGCGAAAGCUAGGGGAGCAAACGGG